ACAUCUCUUAGAAAGAGGUGUCCCAAAGUUGGAACACCGCGAUCUUUUCCCUGGGACAUUGUCUCUUUGAGUCCUCACGUGUGACGUUACUAUCUUAUCUCCAGAUCCAAAGAAGCGUCUUUCUCUGAUUCCUUUUAUCUGGAAGAACUGAGAGGAGACGGGCGAACGGUUGUGAGAAUCUCUUUAAGGGGCAGUCCUGGAAUGAGUGAAGUGCACCGCUGACUCCUGGCCGCCUGUCUCUCCUAUGGCCUGGCAUCUUCACAGAUGCAGAUUUUGAAAAUGCAUUUCUCCUUUAUCUGAGAGCCCCUCCUGCCCCCUCCUCCAGGACCGACACACUAUGCGUGGAACCUGUGAUGCUAGGCCAUCCUUCCUAUGGUUUGACAUAUUGUCUCACCAGUAAAGGGUAGAGCUGGAACCCACCAUGAAAUCCUGGCCCAGCAAAAUACGUGCCCUAGAGAAGAAGGACCACAAACUCAAGACAUGCUUCUGGGCCGGAGAGUUCCUGACCUCACUAUGCUGCCUGCGCAUGUUCUUGAACUUCGGAUUCUCUUGCUUCUCCUUCUCCCCCCCGCCCCCGACCCCCAGUGCUGGGAUCACAGGACUGCACCCCUAAGCCUGGCUUACAUACUGCUGUGGGUGGAGCUCAGGGCCUACUGUGCUCCAGCUGACAACCAAGCCCCAGCUGACAACCAAGCCCCAUCCUUAGCUCUAGUCCUUCACGUUGACUCUGCCUCACCUCUCAGAGAAAGAUGCUCUGUGGCCUGGAGCUUUUCCGGACUGUGUUUGACAACUGGAGUCAUUCCUAGAGCUUGCGCAGUAGACCAGGCUACUAGGCUACUACUACUAGCAGCCUCUGCUUCUGCCUCUUGAGUGCUGGGACUAAAGGCAUGAGCCAUCACUGCCCAGUAGCAUAUAUAUACAUAUAUGGAGCUGGAGAGAUGGCUCAGUGGUUAAAAGCACUUGUUGCUCUUGCUGAGGACCUGAGUUCAAUUCCCAGCCUACACAGUUGCUUACAUGCUUACAGCCAUCCAUAACUCCAGUUCCUGGGGAUAUGAUACCCUCUUCAGACCUCCUCAAGCACCAGGCACAUACAUAGUACACAUAUAUACACUCAUACACAAAAAGUAAAUUUUUAAAAAUUUGUUUUUA
This 1149-nucleotide long non-coding RNA is filed under the name Mus musculus (house mouse). Its description in RNAcentral is "predicted gene, 26885". Lineage: Eukaryota; Metazoa; Chordata; Mammalia; Rodentia; Muridae. The record is from RNAcentral.